GGAACGGUCUGGAAAGUCCGACGGUACAGGGUGAUAGUCCCGUACACCAAAAUGCACAGGCUGUGAACUCGAAGAGUAGGGCGGGACACGUGGUAUCCUGUCUGAAUAUGGGGGGACCAUCCUCCAAGGCUAAAUACUCCUGACUGACCGAUAGUGAACCAGUACCGUGAGGGAAAGGCGAAAAGAACCCCGGCGAGGGGAGUGAAAAAGAACCUGAAACCGUGUACGUACAAGCAGUGGGAGCACCUUCGGGUGUGACUGCGUACCUUUUGUAUAAUGGGUCAGCGACUUAUAUUCUGUAGCAAGGUUAACCGUAUAGGGGAGCCGCAGGGAAACCGAGUCUUAACUGGGCGUUAAGUUGCAGGGUAUAGACCCGAAACCCGGUGAUCUAGCCAUGGGCAGGUUGAAGGUUGGGUAACACUAACUGGAGGACCGAACCGACUAAUGUUGAAAAAUUAGCGGAUGACUUGUGGCUGGGGGUGAAAGGCCAAUCAAACCGGGAGAUAGCUGGUUCUCCCCGAAAGCUAUUUAGGUAGCGCCUCGUGAAUUCAUCUUCGGGGGUAGAGCACUGUUUCGGCUAGGGGGUCAUCCCGACUUACCAACCCGAUGCAAACUACGAAUACCGAAGAAUGUUAUCACGGGAGACACACGGCGGGUGCUAACGUCCGUCGUGAAGAGGGAAACAACCCAGACCGCCAGCUAAGGUCCCAAAGUCAUGGUUAAGUGGGAAACGAUGUGGGAAGGCACAGACAGCCAGGAUGUUGGCUUAGAAGCAGCCAUCAUUUAAAGAAAGCGUAAUAGCUCACUGGUCGAGUCGGCCUGCGCGGAAGAUGUAACGGGGCUAAACCAUGCACCGAAGCUGCGGCAGCGACACUAUGUGUUGUUGGGUAGGGGAGCGUUCUGUAAGCCUGCGAAGGUGUGCUGUGAGGCAUGCUGGAGGUAUCAGAAGUGCGAAUGCUGACAUAAGUAACGAUAAAGCGGGUGAAAAGCCCGCUCGCCGGAAGACCAAGGGUUCCUGUCCAACGUUAAUCGGGGCAGGGUGAGUCGACCCCUAAGGCGAGGCCGAAAGGCGUAGUCGAUGGGAAACAGGUUAAUAUUCCUGUACUUGGUGUUACUGCGAAGGGGGGACGGAGAAGGCUAUGUUAGCCGGGCGACGGUUGUCCCGGUUUAAGCAUGUAGGCUGGUUGUCCAGGCAAAUCCGGAUAAUCAAGGCUGAGGUGUGAUGACGAGGCACUACGGUGCUGAAGUAACAAAUGCCCUGCUUCCAGGAAAAGCCUCUAAGCAUCAGGUAACAUCAAAUCGUACCCCAAACCGACACAGGUGGUCAGGUAGAGAAUACCAAGGCGCUUGAGAGAACUCGGGUGAAGGAACUAGGCAAAAUGGUGCCGUAACUUCGGGAGAAGG
RNAcentral lists this ribosomal RNA (1404 nucleotides) under Klebsiella pneumoniae. Its description in RNAcentral is "partial 23S ribosomal RNA". It matches the Rfam family "Bacterial large subunit ribosomal RNA", at positions 334 to 1746 of the family's 2925-position model. The record is from RNAcentral. Lineage: Bacteria; Pseudomonadati; Pseudomonadota; Gammaproteobacteria; Enterobacterales; Enterobacteriaceae.